RNAcentral lists this ribosomal RNA (467 nucleotides) under uncultured bacterium. RNAcentral describes it as "bacterial SSU rRNA". It matches the Rfam family "Bacterial small subunit ribosomal RNA", at positions 31 to 507 of the family's 1533-position model. The record is from RNAcentral.
GACGGAACGCUGGACGGCGUGCUUAAAACAUGCAAGUCGAACGGACUUCUCAUGAAGCUUGCGAUUGAGAAGUUAGUGGCGGACGGGUGAGUAACGCGUGGGCAACCUGCCCCUGAGCCCGGGAUAACAGUUCGAAAGGACUGCUAAGACCGGAUAUACUUGCGGGGAAGCAUUUCACUGCAAGGAAAGGGAACGCUCAGGGAUGGGCCCGCGUCCCAUUAGCUAGUUGGUGAGGUAACGGCCCACCAAGGCGACGAUGGGUAGCCGGCCUGAGAGGGUGAACGGCCACACUGGGACUGAGACACGGCCCAGACUCCUACGGGAGGCAGCAGUUGGGAAUCUUCGGCAAUGGGCGCAAGCCUGACCGAGCAACGCCGCGUGAGUGAUGAAGGUUUUCGGAUUGUAAAGCUCUGUCUUCCGGGACGAUAAUGACGGUACCGGAGGAGGAAGCCACGGCUAACUACGUG